This is a long non-coding RNA of Cornus florida, 1053 nucleotides long. RefSeq lists it as uncharacterized. The record is from RefSeq and is a predicted model, not a curated record. Lineage: Eukaryota; Viridiplantae; Streptophyta; Magnoliopsida; Cornales; Cornaceae. The transcript is spliced from 4 exons.
GGCAAAUCAUUUCAGCCUCCCCCAAUCUCCAUCUAUAAUCUCGUUCUUAGAUCUGAACUUGCCCUCUCUCUCUCUCUCUCUCUCUCUCUCUCUCUCCCCCCGCAACUGCAAACUAGAAAAUCUAGAAGAAUCAGAAGUGCAAAACCCAUAUAUUUCAGUUUAUCUAUCUGUCUGCAAGAAUCAAAAGUUCAAAACCCAUAUCGGCAUAUCAUUUCAGAUUUUUCAAAAAAUCGAAACCCAUAUCUUUCAGUUCGGGUUCGCCGUUCGCAAGCUUCAGCCGCUGUCUCUCAACUCUCAAGCUUGUCCCCCCUCUCUCUGCAACUGCUAACUUGUUAGCAUCGGGCCUUAACAUUUAGCAAGGAUAAGGUUCAAGAUAUAUGUCUCCUCAGUCAUCAGGUAUCUUUUCUGAAAGAAGAGAAUUGAUGGGAAUGGGUGGAGUAGGGGAAAUAGAUUUACUCGACUUUGGAACCAUGCUGGUGCACUAAUCAACAAAACCAAGGAGCUUGUGUUUAGACAACAUAUUCAGUGCCCCAAAUUUUCGGAUUGUGGGAAUGACUACUGGGAUCAUCACGGCUUAUGAUGUUCUAUUUCAUGAUGAUAUUCAGCAAAUUGUCCAUGAUGAAAUGGCUCCUGUUAUUACUGAGCUCCAAAAGACUACAGCAACUAUGGAAAAUCUCAAGACCCAGAUGGAAAUUAAUGGCAAGUCCAUUGAUUCUGGAAAUGCCACCCAACGUGAGUUACUGGGGGUGGCAAAGAGGUUUGGGGAGAAGUACUCGGAGGCAAAGAAGGCCGGUGGGAAAGACAAGGCAGAGGUCUAGAAGGGGCAACAUAAUUGGGCUACUCUGAGUUUUGAUUAUGUCUCAUACAAAAUAAAUUUGUGAGCGAUGUUGAAACAUCUGGUUUUUGGCACUUUAUUUCUUCUAAAGCUAUCAUCUUGGCACUUUAUUUCUUCUGUUUAUAUUCAUCUUCUACUUUACUCGUGUUGUGAGUGAUGUUGAAACAUCUGGUUUUUGGCACUUUAUUUCUUCUAAAGAUAUUCAUCUUGGCACUUUA